GUGGGUAUAGCUCAGUGGUAGAGUGUGUGCUUAGCAUGCGUGAGGUCCUGGGUUCAAUCCCUAGUACCUCCA
RNAcentral lists this transfer RNA (72 nucleotides) under Camelus bactrianus (Bactrian camel). It matches the Rfam family "tRNA". From Rfam's summary of the family: Transfer RNA (tRNA) molecules are approximately 80 nucleotides in length. Lineage: Eukaryota; Metazoa; Chordata; Mammalia; Artiodactyla; Camelidae. The record is from Rfam by way of RNAcentral. RNAcentral also lists the same sequence under 2 other names.